UAACGACUCUCGGCAACGGAUAUCUCGGCUCUUGCAUCGAUGAAGAACGUAGCGAAAUGCGAUACUUGGUGUGAAUUGCAGAAUCCCGUGAACCAUCGAGUCUUUGAACGCAAGUUGCGCCCGAGACCUUUAGGUCGAGGGCACGUCUGCCUGGGCGUCACAC
RNAcentral lists this ribosomal RNA (163 nucleotides) under Adonis annua (pheasant's-eye). RNAcentral's name for it is "5.8S ribosomal RNA". It matches the Rfam family "5.8S ribosomal RNA". From Rfam's summary of the family: 5.8S ribosomal RNA (5.8S rRNA) is a component of the large subunit of the eukaryotic ribosome. It is transcribed by RNA polymerase I as part of the 45S precursor that also contains 18S and 28S rRNA. The record is from RNAcentral. Lineage: Eukaryota; Viridiplantae; Streptophyta; Magnoliopsida; Ranunculales; Ranunculaceae.